GACGAACGCUGGCGGCGUGCUUAACACAUGCAAGUCGAGCGGAGCGGCGAAAGGGUGAGUAACGCGUGAGUAACUGCCCCCCUCUCUGGGAUAGCAGUUGGAAACGGCUGCUAAUACCGGAUAGUGGGGGAUGACUCGCGACCUAUCAGCUUGUUGGUGGGGUAGUGGCCUACCAAGGCGACGAAGGAUAGCCGGCCUGUGAGGGCGAGCGGCCACAUUGGGCUGGGCGACGACUCGAACUCCUACGGGUGGCAUCGGGGUGGAAUAUUGCACAAUGGUGGAAACCCUGGUGCAGCGCUCCGCGGGCGGGAGGACGGCCUUGGGGUUGUAAACCGCUUUCAGCCAUGACGCGGUGGUGGCAGAAUAAGCACCGGCUAACUACGUGCCAGCAGCCGCGGUAAUAC
This 404-nucleotide ribosomal RNA is filed under the name uncultured bacterium. RNAcentral describes it as "partial 16S ribosomal RNA". It matches the Rfam family "Bacterial small subunit ribosomal RNA", at positions 28 to 526 of the family's 1533-position model. The record is from RNAcentral.